RNAcentral lists this transfer RNA (86 nucleotides) under Acidobacteriota bacterium. RNAcentral describes it as "tRNA-Leu". It matches the Rfam family "tRNA". Rfam says of the family: Transfer RNA (tRNA) molecules are approximately 80 nucleotides in length. The record is from RNAcentral. Lineage: Bacteria; Pseudomonadati; Acidobacteriota.
GCCCGGGUGGCGAAACAGGCAGACGCAAAGGACUUAAAAUCCUUUUCCUGGCAACGGGAGUGUGGGUUCGAUUCCCACCCCGGGCA